Molecule: ribosomal RNA, 418 nt
Filed under: uncultured fungus
Lineage: Eukaryota; Fungi
Description: eukaryotic LSU rRNA
Rfam family: Eukaryotic large subunit ribosomal RNA
Source: RNAcentral
GACCUCGGAUCAGGUAGGGAUACCCGCUGAACUUAAGCAUAUCAAUAAGCGGAGGAAAAGAAACCAACAGGGAUUACCUCAGUAACGGCGAGUGAAGCGGUAACAGCUCAAAUUUGAAAGCUGCCAACAGGCCGCGUUGUAAUUUGUAGAAGCUGCUUUGGGUGUCGGCCCGGUCUAAGUUCCUUGGAACAGGACGUCAUAGAGGGUGAGAAUCCCGUAUGUGAUCGGUGCCGUUGCCCGUGUAAAGCGCUUUCGACGAGUCGAGUUGUUUGGGAAUGCAGCUCAAAAUGGGUGGUAAAUUUCAUCUAAAGCUAAAUAUUGGCCAGAGACCGAUAGCGCACAAGUAGAGUGAUCGAAAGAUGAAAAGCACUUUGGAAAGAGAGUUAAACAGUACGUGAAAUUGUUGAAAGGGAAGCGC